Entelurus aequoreus (snake pipefish) is the source of this 510-nucleotide long non-coding RNA. RefSeq lists it as uncharacterized. The transcript is spliced from 3 exons. Lineage: Eukaryota; Metazoa; Chordata; Actinopteri; Syngnathiformes; Syngnathidae. The record is from RefSeq and is a predicted model, not a curated record.
AGACAUUCCGCCGCUAGACGAAGGUCACCGAGCAGCGACGAAGUUUGCAUUUUCGGUAGAGGUCCAGGGAGCCACGAGGGCGGUGCUAAAGAGACGCGGGUUGCUGACCCCCGGCCUACACCCUAGACUGGCCGCCAGUUCAUCACAGGACACAUGAACAAGCCUUCGCCCUCAAAUCAGAGAAAGCAGCAUCUGCUCAUCCAGAAACAACAACACCAGAAAUGUGUCCCGUGAAAAACCGUCCGACCAGAACUCUAAUAACUAAAGUUCCUUGGGUGAAUAAUGGUAACUCACUACACCGGUAUGUUUUAGGGCUUUCAUGGCGAGUUUACUGACUGAAAUAAGUAAUAACUUUACACUGCUUUUUAUUAGAAAUGGCAACAGCAGAGGAUGGAUGUCCCAUAACAAGAAGGUGGAGAAAAAGAAGAAGCUUAUCGACUACGGUGUCGGCACGGACUACAAAGGCGGACCUGCACAAAUUUUCAGGUACCAGAAGGUAAGAAAAGUUUC